Lotus japonicus is the source of this 1292-nucleotide long non-coding RNA. RefSeq lists it as uncharacterized. The transcript has 3 exons. Lineage: Eukaryota; Viridiplantae; Streptophyta; Magnoliopsida; Fabales; Fabaceae. The record is from RefSeq and is a predicted model, not a curated record.
AGUAUUUUAAUUAGUAUUAUUAUUAAUGCAAUUAUUAUAGUAUAAUAAAAUAAAAAUAAAAAUCAAGAUAAGGAUAAGGAUGAAAUCAAGUUCUAGAGAAUUCAAAGGAUAAGGAUGAGAAUAAAAAAUUAUUUCAGGAAGGACUAAACUGCAAACUGAUUUAACUCUGAAGGACCAAAGUUAAUAACCGACCUAUUCUAUAGGGACCUAACUGUGACAUCAGAAAUAGUUUUAAUUCAAAUUCAGGUCCCUGGUUUUGUCUAUAAAUACCACCACGAAGUUCAAGUUCAAACCAGCUCAAAUUAGAGCAACCCAAGCCUCCAAAUCCUUGCUAAACCUUCCCCUCAGCCUCCUAAAGCCUUCCCUAACAUCUUCUCCGCCCAACAACCACCACAAAACACCCAACCGAGCUCAAGAAAUUCCGAAACUUUAAGCUCUCGGUUCUCCCUCAAAUCUCCAUCAAUUUUGUCGAAACAAGAGUCUAUUUUGCUUAUAAUUUCACCAGGAAGCUAUUCGUGCAAGAAUUUUGAAGUUUGGAGGUCUAGAUUUCAUUCUGCCAUUGUUGACCGGAAAAGCUUCACGGUGUUCAUCGUUUUGGCCAAACCAGAGACCUUUUCAGCUACCCACCUAUACCAUUGAGUUCCUGGGAGUGAGAGGAAGCUUUUCCAAUCGGUUUCCACCCUUAACUCCACCCUCCCGCCGGAGCUCCGCCGCCAACCACCACCUUCUCCGGCGAGCUCACCGGAAAACUGCUCAGAACUUGGAUUUUCUUGCAUAGUUCAAAUCCUUGUCUUCCAUAGGUUCCAUAUACAUAUUCGGUUCGGAAAAUUAACUUGGUUUGAUAGGGUUUCAAGAGACGAGAAGAUAAUCGAUCGAAGGAUUUUUCGAAGAAAGGGACGGAGUUCGAGGAGAAAGAUCUCGAGUGAAAAGUGGUCAAGGCAGGGCGAGCUGUAAAUAGUUGUAAAUAUACGGGAGUGUUCGAGUAGAAUAAAGACCAGCUGAUGGAGGAAAACGUGUACGACUGGACUCGCGCUCUAUCAGACUGUAAAAUAAGUGUGAAAGCUGUGGUUUUGGUUGUAAACAUGGCAGUCAAAGUAGUCGGGGAAGAUUCAGAGGAGUUCAUGCGAGACUUUGGGACGUCUUGUCUAAGGAAAGGAAUUGCUUUUAAUGACGCUUAGCGCGGCUAACUUUCCUGGAGACGUUCUCAGACUAUCAAUUGGACAUCGAUGAAUUCUGACCCAAAGGUCUUGUACUUCUUCAAAGUUCAUCAAUAAAAAUUGUUUUUCUCUGAA